CUUUCUCAACCGAUUCAUUUUCUCUCUACUAGACCUAGAAAAACCCAAAAAACAAAAAAAAAAAAUAGCUUCUCCAGUUUCUGAAUCUGAUGACUCCUCCACCUCUAGCCAUCAUGACCACCGUUGUUGAUAGCCAUAAUGUUACCCAAAAAAGUUGCCAACUUCAUCUCUUGAAACUUUUCAAUCUUAAUAAAUCAUUUUUUUCAAUUAUUUUUCUUUAAAAAUCACCAAAACAAUAUAAAUCUACAAAAGAAAUUGACAAAGUCCAAUUAAAUUCAUGUUAGCUGCCACUCCAAAUGCUCCGGUUUGUUACUCUAAAGAACAUAUUUGCAUUGCAGAAUGCAAGCAGACUGCAGAUUCAAGACAUGCGAGCAAGAAUCAAGAUAAAAUUUCUCAGGUACUUACUUGAAAAUUAUCAAUCUCUGAAUGUCCAAAUGAUCAGGGCAGGGUUUGCUUUUCAGAUUCAAGUUUUGUCCUUAGCUUCUCGCUUUCAUCUGCUGGCUACUGCUGUGUUGUUUGCCUGUCGAAAUAUGAGAAAUAGGAUUUCAUAUUUUCUAUUGCUUUUGAGUUUUGAUUGCUUUUUUCUGUUUAUUUGGACUUCUUUUUACUUUUUUUUAUUGGAAACUCUCUAAUUUUGUAGGUAG
Molecule: long non-coding RNA, 644 nt
Filed under: Gossypium barbadense (sea-island cotton)
Lineage: Eukaryota; Viridiplantae; Streptophyta; Magnoliopsida; Malvales; Malvaceae
Description: long non-coding RNA (GBAR_LNC015490)
Source: RNAcentral